RNAcentral lists this ribosomal RNA (2877 nucleotides) under Faucicola osloensis. RNAcentral describes it as "bacterial LSU rRNA". It matches the Rfam family "Bacterial large subunit ribosomal RNA". The record is from RNAcentral. Lineage: Bacteria; Pseudomonadati; Pseudomonadota; Gammaproteobacteria; Moraxellales; Moraxellaceae.
GUUGUAUAGUCAAGUAAUGAAGUGCACAUGGUGGAUGCCUUGGCAGUCAGAGGCGAUGAAAGACGUGACAGCCUGCGAAAAGCGUCGGGGAGGCGGCAAUAUCCUGUGAUCCGGCGAUAUCUGAAUGGGGAAACCCACUUGUCAUAAGACAGGUAUCGUAAAUUUAUUUACGAGGCAAACCGGGAGAAGUGAAACAUCUCAGUAACCCGAGGAAAAGACAUCAAUAGAGAUUCCCCUAGUAGCGGCGAGCGAACGGGGAGGAGCCGACUGAUUAUAAUUUAGAGGAAUGACUUGGAAAGGUCAAUCGUAGAGGGUGAUAAUCCCGUACUCGAAAGGUUAUAAGAAGCAUAUUAAGUAGGGCGGAACACGAGAAAUUCUGUCUGAAGAUGGGGGGACCAUCCUCCAAGGCUAAAUACUCCUGACUGACCGAUAGUGAACCAGUACCGUGAGGGAAAGGCGAAAAGAACCCCUGUGAGGGGAGUGAAAUAGAACCUGAAACCGUGUGCAUACAAGCAGUCGGAGCGGACAUGUUCCGUGACGGCGUACCUUUUGUAUAAUGGGUCAGCGACUUAUAUUCUGUAGCAAGGUUAACCGAAUAGGGGAGCCGUAGGGAAACCGAGUCUUAAUAGGGCGUCUAGUUGCAGGGUAUAGACCCGAAACCGAGUGAUCUAUCCAUGAGCAGGUUGAAAGUGACGUAACAGUUACCGGAGGACCGAACCCACUGUCGUUGAAAAGCCAGGGGAUGACUUGUGGAUAGGGGUGAAAGGCUAAUCAAACUCGGUGAUAGCUGGUUCUCCCCGAAAGCUAUUUAGGUAGCGCCUCGGACGAACACCAUUGGGGGUAGAGCACUGUUUCGGCUAGGGGGUCAUCCCGACUUACCAAACCGAUGCAAACUCCGAAUACCGAUGAGUGAUAUCCGGGAGACAGACGGCGGGUGCUAACGUCCGUCGUCAAGAGGGAAACAACCCAGACCGCCAGCUAAGGCCCCAAAUUCCUAGUUAAGUGGGAAACGAUGUGGGAAGGCACAGACAGCUAGGAGGUUGGCUUAGAAGCAGCCAUCCUUUAAAGAAAGCGUAAUAGCUCACUAGUCGAGUCGGCCUGCGCGGAAGAUGUAACGGGGCUCAAACUAGGAGCCGAAGCUGCGGAUUUAAUUGUUUCAAUUAAGUGGUAGGGGAGCAUUGUGUAAGCCUGUGAAGGUGUGUUGUAAAGCAUGCUGGAGGUAUCACAAGAGCGAAUGCUGACGUGAGUAACGACAAAACGGGUGAAAAGCCCGUUCGCCGGAAGACCAAGGGUUCCAGUCCAACGUUAAUCGGGGCUGGGUGAGUCGACCCCUAAGGCGAGGCCGAAAGGCGUAGUCGAUGGGAAAUCGGUUAAUAUUCCGAUACUUGUUUAUGAUGCGAUGGAGGGACGGAGAAGGUUAUGCCAGCUUGGCGAUGGUUGUCCAAGUGGAAGGAUGUAGUUAGGUUUAGUAGGCAAAUCCGCUAGACUAUUAAUGAGAUCUGAUAGCAAGCUGUACUUGUACAGCGAAGUGGCAAAUACCCUGCUUCCAGGAAAAGCUUCUAAGCGAUAGUCAUAAAGAAAUCGUACCCUAAACCGACACAGGUGGUCAGGUAGAGAAUACCAAGGCGCUUGAGAGAACUCUGCUGAAGGAACUAGGCAAAAUGGUACCGUAACUUCGGGAGAAGGUACGCUGCCGAUGGUGAGUAGACAUGCUCUACAAAGCUAUUGGCAGUCGCAGAUACCAGGCCGCUGCAACUGUUUAUUAAAAACACAGCACUCUGCAAACACGAAAGUGGACGUAUAGGGUGUGAUGCCUGCCCGGUGCUGGAAGGUUAAUUGAUGGGGUUAGCGUAAGCGAAGCUCUUGAUCGAAGCCCCAGUAAACGGCGGCCGUAACUAUAACGGUCCUAAGGUAGCGAAAUUCCUUGUCGGGUAAGUUCCGACCUGCACGAAUGGCAUAAUGAUGGCGGCGCUGUCUCCAGCAGAGACUCAGUGAAAUCGAAAUCGCAGUGAAGAUGCUGUGUACCCGCGGCUAGACGGAAAGACCCCGUGAACCUUUACUACAGCUUUACAUUGAACUUUGACCUUACCUGUGUAGGAUAGGUGGGAGGCUUUGAAGCAGGCACGCCAGUGUCUGUGGAGCCAUCCUUGAAAUACCACCCUGGUAAUGUUGGGGUUCUAACUCAAGCUUAACAGAGCUGAGGACAAUGUAUGGUGGGUAGUUUGACUGGGGCGGUCUCCUCCUAAAGAGUAACGGAGGAGUACGAAGGUGCGCUCAGAACGGUCGGAAAUCGUUCGAAGAGUAUAAAGGCAAAAGCGCGCUUAACUGCGAGACCCACAAGUCGAGCAGAUACGAAAGUAGGUCUUAGUGAUCCGGUGGUUCUGUAUGGAAGGGCCAUCGCUCAACGGAUAAAAGGUACUCUGGGGAUAACAGGCUGAUACCGCCCAAGAGUUCAUAUCGACGGCGGUGUUUGGCACCUCGAUGUCGGCUCAUCUCAUCCUGGGGCUGAAGCAGGUCCCAAGGGUAUGGCUGUUCGCCAUUUAAAGAGGUACGCGAGCUGGGUUUAGAACGUCGUGAGACAGUUCGGUCCCUAUCUACCGUGGGCGUUGGAAAUUUGAGAGGAUCUGCUCCUAGUACGAGAGGACCAGAGUGGACGAACCUCUGGUGUUUCGGUUGUGACGCCAGUCGCAUUGCCGAGUAGCUAUGUUCGGAUGGGAUAACCGCUGAAAGCAUCUAAGCGGGAAGCCCACCUUAAGAUUAGAUUUCCCUAAAGAGCCGUUGUAGACUACGACGUUGAUAGGUUGGGUGUGGAAGCAUAGUGAUAUGUGUAGCUAACCAAUACUAAUUGCUCGUUUGGCUUGACUAUACAACGCCUAA